GGGCGUAUGGCGCAGUGGUCGCGCGCUUCGUUCACACCGAAGAGGUCACUGGUUCGAACCCAGUUACGCCCA
Molecule: transfer RNA, 72 nt
Filed under: Propionibacteriaceae bacterium
Lineage: Bacteria; Bacillati; Actinomycetota; Actinomycetes; Propionibacteriales; Propionibacteriaceae
Description: tRNA-Val
Rfam family: tRNA
About the family: Transfer RNA (tRNA) molecules are approximately 80 nucleotides in length. Their secondary structure includes four short double-helical elements and three loops (D, anti-codon, and T loops). Further hydrogen bonds mediate the characteristic L-shaped molecular structure. tRNAs have two regions of fundamental functional importance: the anti-codon, which is responsible for specific mRNA codon recognition, and the 3' end, to which the tRNAs corresponding amino acid is attached (by aminoacyl-tRNA synthetases). tRNAs cope with the degeneracy of the genetic code in two manners: having more than one tRNA (with a specific anti-codon) for a particular amino acid; and 'wobble' base-pairing, i.e. permitting non-standard base-pairing at the 3rd anti-codon position.
Source: RNAcentral